Molecule: transfer RNA, 75 nt
Filed under: Neptunitalea lumnitzerae
Lineage: Bacteria; Pseudomonadati; Bacteroidota; Flavobacteriia; Flavobacteriales; Flavobacteriaceae
Description: Neptunitalea sp. Y10 tRNA-Arg
Rfam family: tRNA
About the family: Transfer RNA (tRNA) molecules are approximately 80 nucleotides in length. Their secondary structure includes four short double-helical elements and three loops (D, anti-codon, and T loops).
Source: RNAcentral
GGCUCCGUAGUUCAACUGGAUAGAAUAUCAGAUUUCGGCUCUGAGGGUUGGGGGUUCGAAUCCCUCCGGGGUCAC